GCCGUGGGCGCUGGAGAACUGAGGGGGGCUGCUCCUAGUACGAGAGGACCGGAGUGGACGCAUCACUGGUGUUCGGGUUGUCAUGCCAAUGGCACUGCCCGGUAGCUAAAUGCGGAAGAGAUAAGUGCUGAAAGCAUCUAAGCACGAAACUUGCCCCGAGAUGAGUUCUCCCUGAGACUUAGAGUCUCCUGAAGGAACGUUGAAGACGACGACGUUGAUAGGCCGGGUGUGUAAGCGCAGCGAUGCGUUGAGCUAACCGGUACUAAUGAACCGUGAGGCUUAACCUUACAACGCCGAAG
This 299-nucleotide ribosomal RNA is filed under the name Salmonella enterica subsp. enterica serovar Heidelberg. RNAcentral describes it as "partial 23S ribosomal RNA". It matches the Rfam family "Bacterial large subunit ribosomal RNA", at positions 2644 to 2925 of the family's 2925-position model. The record is from RNAcentral. Lineage: Bacteria; Pseudomonadati; Pseudomonadota; Gammaproteobacteria; Enterobacterales; Enterobacteriaceae.